This 531-nucleotide long non-coding RNA is filed under the name Acyrthosiphon pisum (pea aphid). Its description in RNAcentral is "uncharacterized LOC103309490, transcript variant X1". Lineage: Eukaryota; Metazoa; Arthropoda; Insecta; Hemiptera; Aphididae. The record is from RNAcentral.
AGGUGAUAAAGUUCUAAAAAUAAAAGAGGUUAUAGUGGACAAAUUAGCAAAGGAAUACGUGGAUUAUUUGGGUGAAAAUUACCCAGUUACUGCCUUUUGUGAAACUAAAAUUAAUAAAAACAGAAGUUAUUUUAUGCAAUUUUAUGGUCCAUAAGAAAAAUAUAUAUAAGAUGGGGUGAAUAAAAACGUAUUUCCUUUUUUUCUUUUUUAAAACUAAUAAUUGUACUUUAUUUUCAAAGAAAAUAUGUUCUAAUAUCCUAAAAGACACAAACCAUAAUAUUAUUAUAAUAAACUCCAUGCAUAUUCCAUCUGCACUACUAUGAUAAAUUGUAAUCUGUAACACCAUUUUUCUUAUUCCCUUUAUAUUGUUUAAUACCUAUAUUACUAUUAGUAUUACUAUUUUUAAAUGUAUUUCUUCAUUUAUCCAAAUUUAUAUAAUAUGUACGUAUUGAUUAAUAUACUGUGUCAAACAAUAAUUGUUGUAUGUUACGUUGCUUGCUAAUAAUCAAUAAACAAUAAAGUUGUUAUCUA